AUUUCUUGAUUUCUUCUCUACCAACUUAAUUAGUUUUGAUCAUUUUUAGUGCAGAAAUGGAUUGUGUAAAACUUGUAUUCUUUAUGCUAUAUACCUUUCUUGGUCAACUUGUUUUCUCCUCAUCCUUACCUCAUUUGUGUCCCGAAGAUCAAGCUCUUGCUCUUCUACAAUUCAAGAACAUGUUUCCCAUUAAUCCUAAUGCUUCUGAUUAUUGUUUUGAAUGGAAAGAGUUUCAUUCAUAUCCGAAAACUCUUACAUGGAAUAGGAGCACAGAUUGUUGCUCAUGGGAUGGAGUACAUUGUGACAAGAUGACGGGACAGGUGAUUGAGCUCAACCUCACUUGCAGCGGACUUCAAGGCAAGUUUCAUUCCAAUUGUAGCCUCUUUCAACUUUCCAAUCUCAAAAGGAUUGAUUUGUCUUUUAAUAAUUUCACUGGAUCACUCAUUUCACCUAAAUUUGGUGACUUCUCCAGUUUAACACAUCUUGAUCUAUCAGUUUCAAGUUUUUCAGGUCAAAUCCCUUCUGAAAUAUCUUAUCUAACCAAUUUAAACGUUCUUCGUAUCACGGCUGUUGAUCCAUAUGGGCUUAGACUUGGGCCUCACAAUUUUGAAUUGCUCCUUAAGAACUUGACCCAAUUAAGAGAGCUCAAACUUGACUCUGUGAACAUCUCCUCCACCAUUCCUCUAAAUUUCUCUUCUUAUUUAACAGUUCUACGGCUUCCAUACACACAGUUACGUGGGGUAUUGCCCGAAAGAGUAUUCCACCUUUCCAACUUAGAAUUCCUUCAUUUAUCAUCCAAUCCCCAGCUCAGUGUUAGGUUUCCCACAACCAAAUGGAAUAGCAGUGCAUCACUCAUGAAGUUAUAUCUCUUAGGGGUGAAUAUUACUAGUAGGAUACCUGAAUCAUUUAGCCAUCUAACUUCACUUCAUGAGUUGGACAUGGGUAAUACUAAUCUGUCAGGGUCCAUUCCUAAACCUCUAUGGAAUCUCACCAACAUAGAGAUUUUGUACCUUGAUACUAACCGUCUUGAAGGAACAAUUUCCCAGUUCUCGAUAUUUGAAAAGCUCAAGACGUUAUCACUUGGAAAUAACAACUUUGAUGGCCGACUUGAGUUCUUAUUCUUUAACAGAAGCUGGAUGCAACUUGAAUGGCUAGAUUUGCCAUCCAAUUCCCUAACUGGUCCAAUUCCAUCCAACGUAAGCGGACAGCGAAAUCUACAAUCACUCUUCUUGUCAUCAAACUACUUGAAUGGGACUAUACCUUCCUGGAUAUUCUCCCUUCCUUCACUAACAAAUUUAGAAUUGAGCAAUAACACUUUCAGCGGAAAAAUUCAGGAGUUCAAGUCCAAAACAUUAUAUUUCGUUACUCUAAAAGAAAAUAAGCUGGAAGGUCCUAUUCCAAAGUCACUCCUAAACCAGCAGAGCCUACGAGUUCUUCUCCUUUCACACAAUAAUAUCAGUGGACAGAUUGAUUCAGCUAUCUGCAAUAUGAAAACAUUGUUGCUACUAGAUUUGAAAAGUAAUAAUUUGGAGGGAACAAUUCCACAAUGUUUGGGUGAGAUGAGUACAGUUCGGAUUUUGGAUUUAAGCAACAAUGGUCUUAGUGGGACAAUUAAUCCAACUUUUACUAUUGAAAACCAAUUCAACAUCAGUAAAUUGAAUGACAAUAAACUACAGGGGAAAGUUCCAUCAUCUUUGAUCAAUUGUGAAAAAUUGGAAUUUCUAGAUUUAAGUAACAAUGAGUUGAAUGACACGUUUCCAAAAUGGUUGGGAGAGCUACCUCAUUUGCAGAUCUUAAAGUUGAGAUCAAAUAAGUUCUAUGGCCCUAUAAGGACUGACAACUUGUUUGCUCAAAUUCGAGUCAUAGAUCUCUCAUCCAACGGAUUUAGUGGAGAUCUACCAGUGAACUUGUUUCAGAAUUUUCAAGCCAUGAAAAAAAAUGGUGAGAACAGUGGAACCCCAAAGUAUGUAGCAGAUAUAUAUUCUUAUUAUUAUAAAAAUUCUUUGAUAGUGACAACGAAGGGACUGGAUCAUGAACUUCCUCGAGUUUUGACUACACAAAUAAUUAUCGAUCUCUCAAGGAAUAGAUUUGAAGGUUGUAUUCCAAACAUUAUUGGAGAUCUCGCUGGACUUCGUACGUUGAACUUAUCUCAUAAUGUCUUGGAAGGUCACAUACCAGAAUCACUGCAACAUUUAUCUGUACUUGAAUCAUUGGAUCUUUCAUCCAACAAAAUAGGCGGUGAAAUAUCACAACAAUUUGUGUCCCUUACGUCACUUGAAGUCUUAAAUCUCUCUCACAAUCAUCUUGUUGGAUGCAUCCCCAAAGGAAACCAAUUUAAUACAUUUGAGAACAAUUCAUACCAAGGAAAUGAUGGAUUACGAGGAUUACCACCCUCAAGAGAUUGUGGCGGUGAUGAUAGGGUACCACAAGCGACAAUUCCAGUUGAGCUAGACCAAGAAGAAGAAGAUUCACCAAUGAUCAGUUGGCACGCAGUUCUCAUGGGUUACGGUUGUGGACUUGUUAUUGGACUAUCUGUAAUAUACAUAAUGUGGUCAACUCAAUAUCCAACAUGGUUUUGGAGGAUGGAUUUAAAAUUGGAACACAAAAUUAGUACGAGAAUGAAAAGGCACAAGAAAAGAUAUUAGUGUGCACUGACCUGCAGGUAUUCAACUUGAUCUUUAUCCUUCAAAAGACUACUUCUUAUAUAUCGAUUUAUUAGUGUGUAAGUUUAAUUCUUUAUUUUUGAAAAUUGCAGGAUUCAAGUCUACUGAUCAGUUGCUGAUGAUGCAGAUAAAAGCCUUUAUCUUUCAUAGUUUGUGAUGUUUCCAUAAAGUGUUUGUUAUCCUAUGAAUAAAGACAUGACUUUUCUUCCUUGAGACUCAAAUCAGAUUAUGUUUUCAUUUGUCUAUGGCUUGUAGAAAUAAAUUCGACUGAUAAACAGAAAUCGGACACAAACUGCUUAAUCUGUGUCUGUAUUUACAUUGACUCCUCUAAAUUCCAAACCUUCCUGGUAUGACAUAUCAUACCACCCCAAAUACCUUCCAGUUCCAAAUAAAUUUUCUAAAUAUCUAGCUAGAUAGAGUUUUGGAUGUGGAAAAUCCACUCGAGCUGGUGCGCUAUGGAGAAGGAGUUGUGUUCAAAGUAGAUUUUCAUCGCUACUCAAGUUUGCAUUAACAAAGUGACAUCCUACUCCUAAAAUACAAUGAAUUCCAUUGCAGCAUAGAGUGAUCCCAUAUCUAUUGGUUGAACUAUUUUGAGGCAUUUGAUGUAGACUUUGUAGGAAAACAAUAACGAAUUAGCUCAAGGAGUACUAAAAGUUCCGUUAAAGAAAAUUCUUAAAAACUACAUGUGACAACUCGUACUAUAAGAGCAUGCAAGUUUGAGUCCUCUUCAAAGCAUAAUAUUAGUGUAACACCCCGUAUUCGAAACAGACCAAAUUGCAGAUUUUUAGAAGUUGCAGGUGCGACUUACGGUCACCAUCCAUGGACCGUAGGUCAGACCACGGCCCGUGCUGGUGGUCCGUGGUUCACCACUGCAACCCUCCCCAAAUCAGCUCAGAAAAAUUGGCUAAGUCCCGACUCACGGACAGACCUACGGUCCGUAGAUCAGACCACGGUCCGUGGUCUGAGUCCGUGGAUCGAGACUUCCCUUACCUAGCCUUUGAAACAAACUACGGUCAACCAGUACGGACCGUCAUUCGAUCCACGGUCCGUAGGUCUGACCGUAGAUGAGGGUCAAGCAACCAGUUAGAUGAAAAUUGUGGUUAAGUCAACUUCAGAUGGUCAUAACUCUUAGCACAAAAUGAAUUAUGUGUCCCAUUACCUAUGGUUAGAUAGAUAAUUGAAUUAUCUCUCCAACGCCACUGAGUUUGCUAAAUUCUGACCUCCGAGUAAAAAGUUAUGCUCGUUUUAGUGAAGCCCUGUCGGGCAGACUCGACUUACGGACCCAAUCGACGGUCCGUCUAUUGAACUACGGCCCGUCAGUCCAGUUCGUCGAUUGGUCCGACAGCAGUUAAUUCAAGGGUCUUUUGGUCUUUUCCUCUUUCGUUUAACCCCUAAGAUACGUCGUUUAAACCCUAAAUCAUAAGGUUUUAGUCAGUUUAAGCCUAGAAACAUAACUAGAACUUACCUAAGUCAAAUCAUUAAUCAAAACUUAGAAAAUUAGAAGCAAGAGAGGAGAAAAAGGUCAAGAACCCUAGUUCAAGAACCCUACAAGGUUCCAUCAGUUCCAGCCUCGAAAUUGAAAGAUUUCUCCGUGGAAUUCGUCACCAGGUAUGUGGGAUUUCACUAGUGGGUUCCUUUCACCCAUUAGGUCCCUAGAAUUCAGUCAGAUUCUUGAUUCCAUGAUUAUGAACAGACCUAGGGUUUCUAGAAUUACAACAGAUCAUCAUGAAUUAGUUAUUUAAAUGUUCCAAAUCAAAUUAUCAUGUUAUUGCUGAGCUUCUCGCAUGAAUUUUAGAACCCUAGCUAUGUAUUUCUUUAGUUCUUGAAUUACACAUGCUAGGUCAAAUAUUUNNNNNNNNNNNNNNNNNNNNNNNNNNNNNNNNNNNNNNNNNNNNNNNNNNNNNNNNNNNNNNNNNNNNNNNNNNNNNNNNNNNNNNNNNNNNNNNNNNNNNNNNNNNNNNNNNNNNNNNNNNNNNNNNNNNNNNNNNNNNNNNNNNNNNNNNNNNNNNNNNNNNNNNNNNNNNNNNNNNNNNNNNNNNNNNNNNNNNNNNNNNNNNNNNNNNNNNNNNNNNNNNNNNNNNNNNNNNNNNNNNNNNNNNNNNNNNNNNNNNNNNNNNNNNNNNNNNNNNNNNNNNNNNNNNNNNNNUUAUUAGUAGCUCCCACAGUUCAGUCAGACUCUAUUGCAUUGACCAUAUUUCAGUACGGUCAGUAUUCAGUCUCAGCAUGUUAUAAAUUUGGUCAUUGCAUCAGUUAGCUCAGUAUUCAGUAUUUUCAGUAUCUAUAUCAUGUUCAGAUUAUUUCAUUGCUUUAUUGCUUUGUUCAGUGAUAUGUUAUUUCAGCUGUAUUCUAUCCUGCAUGUUUAGUACCUUUCAAGUACUGAUGCAUACGUGCGCUAUAUCUUCUCGUGAUGUAGGUUCAGGUUCUCAGCAUCCAGAUCACGCUUAGAUCGAUUCCCGAUCUUCAGUUCAGCUGCACCAGUGGUGAGUCCUCAUUCUUCGUGGACUAGUGACAUGUUUAUCUUUAUCGCUUUUAGUCUUUAGUUUCAGUUUUGAUAGAUCUAGUUGGGGCAUGUUCCAACAUUUCUAGUCAGUUUAGAGGCUUAUUUCAGACAUAGUUAGAUUUAGCUUAGUAUUGAGUUAAUAUUUUCUUUGUAUUAAACUCAUCAAUUUUUCAUAUAUCUCAGAUAUAGUAUAUGGGUAUUCCCCAUCAUUUCAGACUUACUUUAUGAUUUAGCUUCCGCAUCAGUUAUUAUUAUCUUUAGUAUGCUCAUGAUCAUGCCAGCAGGGUUAGCUUGGGAUCACUUGUGGUCCUAGGUCCCGUGUCCGCGUCUUGGGGGUAGUCUCGGGGCGUGACAAUUAGGGCUCAUCAAAUGUGCGUUCUCAACAACAGAGCUCGGAUCAUUAAUUAACAGUAUCAUUUCACUUCACAUCCUAGCACUAUCAUUCUCUGGAAAAACUUAACAGCAACUUCAGAGCACCCGUUCUUCAUGUACCCAUAAAUCAUACGAGUCUAUGAAUAAACAUCUCUAGAAGGCAUGUAAGAAAACAUCAAGAACCCCAAACCCAUUUUUCCCUCAAGCAUUGCAUUAACUAAAUUCAGUAUCAUUAUUAUCAGUUAACUAUCUCCUGGGGCCUAUUCGACUGAUAAACAGAAAUUGGAAACUACUUGAAUCAUUCGAUCAAUUUCCAACUGAGAUAAUAGCAGAAGUCGUAUGCUUAAUUUAUGGGUUGCUCAUGGCUUUGUGUCAUUUAAGUACCUAAAGAAGAAUUUGAGUGUACAUAAGACUAAUUGGUAAGGUUCUACUGGUUUAAAAUAUAAUGUUUAGGGAUCACGUACAACGCGCAAGGACAAGAUCUUAGUAAAACAUGUGAUAAUCUGCUGUCAGGAUAUUGGAAUCACAUUAAAGUUCCUAAAAGACUUAGCUUCCAAUGUCUUUUCUGGUGAAGAGCUAAAGAUUAUUGGAAAUGCUGAUAAGUAAUUGAUUACUUGUCUGUAUAUUUGUCACAUUGUUCCCUGGCCAAAAUUUUAGGAAAUAGAUGCAUUGUUGAGCGUAUGCUCGAAACCAAUUAAGGAUACGAAAAGUUCUGUCACAACAAAUUCUUAAAAGGGUAUAUGCAUAGUACACUUAUCCUAACUAUCAAAACCUUCUUUUUUUUUUUACCUUUUAAGUUAAAGUCUAUACACAAAGUAACACUCUUAUCCUGACUAAUCAAGACUUUAACGGAUUUUCGAUUUGGGACAGUAAGUAAUACCUUAAAAUCACCAGAACUGCAAAUCCAAACAAAUUUACAUGACAAAUUGUGAGAAUAAACCGACAUCAAUUGCAUAAAAUUUUGGACGAGAAAAACUCUUAAAAAUGGUGUAAUAUCAUUGGCUUUGGGUAAAACUUGCACAGUUUCCUCUUAAAUGUUCACUUUAUACAUAUCUUCUUUUUAUCUUACCAACUUCUAAUGCAAGACUUUUUUCAUACACCCAACCGACAUAAGAGAGCCAAAACAACUUUUGUAUGUGUUGUGUGUGGAGAGUUGUUAAGAGAGACACGUUGAAUGUGAAUAUGUAAUUGACAACUCUAAAAUUGACUGAACAUGACAAGGUGACCUUCCUGAAAUUGAUUACUCCAAAGCAACAACUAAAUGUACAUAGUAAAUUUCUUUUCUUAGUUUGUGCUAUAUAUACCUCAUCAAACUUACUGAAUAUAGACACACAACAAACAUUUCUUGAUUUCUUCUCUACCAACUUAAUUAGUUUUGAUCAUUUUAGAGCAAAAAUGGGUUAUGUAAAACUUUUAUUUUUUAUGCUAUAUACCGUUCUUUGUCAACUUGCUUUCUCGUCAUCCUUGUGCCCCAAAGAUCAAGCUCUUUCUCUUCUACAAUUCAAGCACAUGUUUACCAUUAAUCUUGAUGCUUCUUAUGAUUGUGAGUUUUCUCAUCCAAAAACUCGUUCAUGGAACAAGAGCAUGGAUUGUUGCUCAUGGAAUGGAGUUCAUUGUGACAAGACAACAGGACAAGUGAUUGAGCUUGAUCUCCGUUGCAGCGAACUUCAAGGCAAGUUUCAUUCCAAUAGUAGCCUCUUUCAACUCUUCAAUCUCAAAAGGCUUGAUUUGUCGUAUAAUGAUUUCACUGGAUCACUCAUUUCACCUAAAUUUGGUGAGUUUUCAAGUUUGACGCAUCUUGAUUUGUCGCAUUCAAGAUUUACAGGUCUAAUCCCUUCUGAAAUAUCUCACCUUUCUAAAUUACACGUUCUUUUUAUAUGGAACCCCUCGGGUGGUUUAUAUGACCUUAGUCUUAGUCUUGGGCCUCACAAUUUUGAACUUCUCCAUCAGAACUUGACCCAAUUAAGAGAGCUUGACCUUUAUGGUGUGAACAUCUCUUCCACCAUUCCUUCAAUUUUUUCUUCUCAUUUAACAACUCUAGCACUUUCAGACACACAUUUAUGUGGGAUAUUGCCCGAAAGUGUUUUCCACCUUUCCAACUUAAAAACUCUCGAUUUGUCAUACAAUCACAAGCUCACAGUUAGGUUUCCCAUAACCAAAUGGAAUAGCAGCGCAUCACUCAUGUACUUAAAUCUCUAUGAUGUGAAUAUUACUGGUAGGAUACCUGAAUCAUUUAGCCAUCUAAUUGCACUUCAUGACUUGGACAUGGUUAGUCUAAUCUGUCAGGGCCUAUUCCUAAACCUCUAUGCAAUCUAACCCACAUAGAGAGUUUGUCCCUUAAUGAUAACCAUCUUGAAGGACCAUUGAGCCUUUUUCAGAAUUUUCAAGCAAUGAAAACAAUUGGUGAGAACAGUGGAACCCGAGAGUAUGUAGCAGAUAAAUUUUCUUUUUUUUACACUAAUUCUAUGAUAGUGACAACAAAGGGACUGGAUCAUGAACUUCCUAGAGUUUUGACUACACAAAUAAUUAUCGAUCUCUCAAGGAAUAGAUUUGAAGGUCAUAUUCCAAACAUUAUUGGAGAUCUCGUUGGACUUCGUACCUUGAACUUAUCCCAUAAUGUCUUGGAAGGUCAUAUACCAGCAUCAUUGCAAAAUUUAUCAGUACUCAAAUCAUUGGAUCUCUCAUCUAACAAAAUCAGCGGAGAAAUUCCGCAGCAGCUUGCAUCCCUCACAUUUCUUGCAGUCUUGAAUCUCUCUCACAAUCAUCUUGUUGGAUGCAUCCCUAAAGGAAAACAAUUUGAUACGUUUGAGAACAGUUCAUACCAAGGAAAUGUUGGAUUAUGAGGAUUGCCACCCUCAAGAGAUUGUGGCCGUGAUGAUAGGGUACCACAAGCGACAAUUCCAGUUGAGCUAGAUCAAGAAGAAGAAGAAGAUUCACCAAUGAUCAAUUGGCAGGCGGUUCUCAUGGGUUACGGUUGUGGACUUAUUAUUGGAUUGUCCGUAUAAUAUGUAAUGUCUUCAACUCAAUAUCCAAAAUGGUUUUCGAGGAUGGUUGUAAAAUUGGAAGACAAACUUAUUACAAGAAUGAAAAAGUAGAGGAAAAGAUAUUAGUGUAUAGUUACCUCCAGGUAUUCAACUUGAUCAUUGUCCUUCAGAAGAUUAUUUUUUAUAUAUCGAUGAAAUUAUCGACCUCCUUCAUCCUCAAAGCUCUUAACUUUAACUCUUCAUUUUUGUAAAUUUCAGGAUUCAAGAGUUCCGAGUUCCGAGUUGCUGGGGAUGCAGAUAAAGCCUUUUUAUCGUUCAUAGUUUGUAAUGUUUCCAUGAAGUGUUUCUUAUCCUAUGAAUAAAUAUUUUGUUUUCAUUUGUCUAUGGCAUGCAGCUAUGUUCCAUCACUAAAAACAUUGUAUUUCUCUCAACUCUUUUGUCACAUGAUAUCAUAACACAAACAAAGAACACUUGAAUCAAAACCUGGAAGAAACAUCAGGAAACCAUGAAUCAAAGUUGCAGUAGUCUACUAUAUUAACUUUUUUCGUUGAAGCACAACCGACAUAUCAUGAGAAAGAGACUGUGAUCUCAGAAAUGAGAAUUUACCAAUCCACAACCCUGCAGUAUCUACUGGAACUUUUUUCUGUCGCUUCUUCUUGCCCCAAUCUCAGGAACAUUUCAUUCUUGACUGGUCCUUGAUGCAAUAAAUUAAAUCGUGAGUGGAAUUUGUUAAUCUAGUAGCUAAUUAAUGCUCGAAGAAGAUGAAUGCUAAUUCAGGGACUUAGCCGAGAAUUAUAGCUGAAAGAGAAAUGUAGAAGAAGAAGAGAUUGAUCUUAUUUCAUGAAUGAAUAACAUUUUGCAAUCAUAGACAGAGGAAUGAAACUAAUGGCCUAACGAACACUCUGUGAAUAGUGAACAGUACUAACCCAUACCGUGAAGUCUCCAGGAUACAAAUAUUUGGCCUUCGAAAGCAAACUUUUUCUCUCUAAAUACAAGCUUUAUUUUCAUAGUUUCUGAUGUUUCAUCUUACAUUUUUUUAUUACUACCUGUUGUUUCUUUAGCCUCGAUUACUGUAUUAUCUUGUUGUUUUUUCUGCUUGUUGCUACUAUGCCUUCUUUUACAUCGAAAAUAACCUCUCUAACUUCAAGGUAGUGGUAAGGUCUGCGUACACAGUAUACUCCCAAGACAGCCAGGCCCCACUGUCUUCCAUCAGCAGCUCAAUUCUUGUUUCUGUCAAGUUGUAUGGUGUGUGUUAAGAGAGCAAAGCAAAGAUACUUUUUGUGACAUUCAAACAAAAUGCAUGUGUUAUUACAAGUGGUGGGACUUUGUGUUUGAAUCUUUCUAUGCUAUCUUAUUUAUCUUCCCUUCCAUCACUCGUAAACAUACAUUUCAAAGGGAUCAAAAUUGAAUCAAAUUAUUCUACAUGCCUAAAUUCCUUUAUUAUUGUGUUAUCAAAUAACUACAUCAACUCUAAAAUACUCAUAUAUAUGAGUAGUAAUUUUCAUUUGAAGAGUACUUUUAUGGAACUAUUUAGUUGUGUAAAUUUUAUUUCAAGAUAAGCAAAAGAAGUCGAUAUGUGAAUUUACUCCGAAAAUUUUAAGAAGUGACCUUCAUUUUAAAUUUUCUUUGGAACGAAAAAAUGGAUGGAUGGACCUAAGAUCGUGCUGAAAGACGGAGUCGAUGGACAACAUGUAAAUAUCAUAACUUUUACUAUUUUAAUUAACAUUUGAAUUGAGCUUGAUUUUCAUUGGAACAAACUCUAAUUCUUUUGAUAAAAAUUAAAUUUGCUAACAAAUACAAUGACGAAUGCUUUAACAUGUGUAUCCUAAGGAGGAGAGAAAGCAAAGUAAAAAAAUUAUUCUUGUUUUUUUGUUUUGUAAUAGAAAGUGAACCAAAACAAAGACCUUUUAUGUGACCUCUUCGUCUAUAAUAAGCACAUGUGAUUGUCAACUUCAAAUUGACAGAAAAUGACUACUUAACCAAUAGAGAUUUUUUUUUGCUUAAUUUGUGCUAUAUAUACGUCAUCAAAAUUGUUGAAUAGACACAAAAGCAAACAUUUCCUGAUUUCUUCACUGCCAACUUAAUUAGUUUUUGACCAUUUUAGUGAAGAAAUGGGUUGUGUAAAAGUUGUGUUUUUUAUGCUAUAUCCCUUUCUCUGUCAACUUGCUUUCUCCUCAUCCUCACCUCAUUUGUGCCCCCGAAGAUCAAGCUCUUGCUCUUCUACAAUUCAAGAACAUGUUUACCGUGAGACCUACUUCUUAUGGUUGUUACGACUAUACAGACCAAAGGAUGAAGUCAUAUCCAAGAACUCUUUUCUGGAACAAGAGCACCGAUUGCUGCUCAUGGGAUGGAGUUCAUUGUGACGAGACAACAUGACAAGUGAUUGAGCUUGAUCUCCGUUGCAGCCAACUUCAAGGCAAGUUUCGUUCCAAUAGUAGCCUCUUUCAACUCUUCAAUCACAAAAGGCUUGAUUUGUCUUAUAACGAUUUCUUUGAAUCGCUCAUUUCACCUAAAUUUGGUGAGUUCUCUAGAUUGACGCAUCUUGAUUUGUCGAGUUCACGUUUUACAGGUCUAAUCCCUUGUGAAAUCUCUCAUCUUUCUAAAUUAUACGUUCUUCGUAUAUGGACUGUAUUUCCAUAUGGCCUUAGACUUGGGCCUCACAAUUUUGAACUACUCCUUAAGAACUUGACUCAAUUAAGAGAUCUCGACCUUUACUCUGUGAACAUCUCUUCCACUAUUCCUCUGAAUUUCUCUUCUUAUUUAACAAAUUUACAGCUUCAACACACACAAUUUCGUGGGGUAUUUCCCGAAAGAGUUUUCCACCUUUCCGAUUUAGAAUUCCUUGAUUUAUCUCACAAUCCCCAGCUCACAGUUAGGUUUCCCACAACCAAAUGGAAUAGCAGUGCAUCACUCAUGUACUUAAAUCUCUAUGAUGUGAAUAUUAAUGGUAGGAUACCUGAAUCAUUUAGCCAUCUAACUUCACUUCAUAUGUUGAACAUGGGUAAUACUAAUCUGUCAGGGCCCCUUCCUAAACCUCUAUGGAAUCUCACCAACAUAGAGAGUUUGUUCCUUGGUAGUAACCAUCUUGAAGGACUAAUUUCCCUGUUAUCGAGAUUUGAAAAGCUCAAGGAAUUAUUACUUGGAAAUAACAAUUUUGAUGGCCGACUUGAGUUCUUAUCCUUUAACAGAAGCUGGAUGCAACUCGAUACCUUAGAUUUUUCGUCCAAUUACCUAACUGGUCCAAUUCCAUCCAACGUAAGUGGACUGCGAAACCUAAAACAGCUCUUCUUGUCAUCAAGCUACUUGAAUGGGACUAUACCUUCCUGGAUAUUCUCCCUUCCUUCACUGAUAGCGUUAGACUUAAGCAAUAACACUUUCAGUGGAACAGUUCAAGUCCAAAACAUUAAAUGUCGUUACUCUAAAUCAAAAUAAGCUGGAAGGUCCUAUUCCAAAGUCACUCCUAAACCAGCAGUUCCUACUAGGUCUUCUCUUUUCACACAAUAACAUCAGUGGACGUAUUGCUUCAGCUAUCUGCAAUCUGAAAACAUUGCAAGUAUUAGAUUUGAGAAGUAAAAUUUUGGAGGGAACAAUCCCACAAUGUUUGGGUGAGAUGAGUGCAGUUGAGAUUUUGGAUUUGAGCAACAAUAGUCUUAGUGGGACAAUUAAUACAACUUUUAGUAUUCGAAACCGACUCAACAUCAUUAAAUUGCAUAGUAAUAAGCUAGAGGGGAAAGUUUCACAAUCUUUGAUCAAUUGUAAAUAUUUAGAACUUCUUGAUUUAGGUAACAAUGAGUUGAAUGACACGUUUCCAAAAUGGUUGGGAGAGCUACCUCAUUUGCAGAUCUUAAAGUUGAGAUCAAAUAAGUUCUAUGGCCCUAUAAGGAUUGACAACUUGUUUGCUCAAAUUCGAGUCAUAGAUCUCUCAUCCAAUGGAUUUAGUGGAGAUUUACCAUUGAGUCUUUUUCAGAAUUUUCAAGCCAUGAAAACAAAUGGUGAGAACAAUGGAACCCGAGAGUAUGUAGCAGAUACAUUUUUUUUUUACUUACACUAAUUCUAUGAUAGUGACAACAAAGGGACUGGAUCAUGAACUUCCUGGAGUUUUGACUACACAAAUAAUUAUCAAUUUCUCAAUGAAUAGAUUUGAAGGUCAUAUUCCAAGCAUUAUUGGAGAUCUCGUUGGACUUCGUACCUUGAACUUAUCUCAUAAUGUCUUGGAAGGUCAUAUACCAGCAUCAUUGCAAAAUUUAACUGUACUCGAAUCGUUGGAUCUCUCAUCUAACAAUAUCAGUGGAGAAAUUCUGCUGCAGCUUGCAUCCCUCACAUUUCUUGCAGUCUUAAAUCUCUCUCACAAUUAUCUUGUUGGAUGCAUCCCCAAAGGAAAACAAUUUGAUACGUUUGAGAACAGUUCAUACCAAGGAAAUGAUGGAUUACGAGGAUUGCCACCCUCAAGAGAUUGUGGUCGUGAUGAUAGGGUACCACAAGAGACAAUUCCAGUUGAGCUAGAUCAAGAAGAAGAAGAAGAAGAUUCACCAAUGAUCAAUUGGCAGGCGGUUCUUAUGGGUUAUGGUUGUGGACUUGUUAUUGGACUGUCUGUAAUAUACGUAAUGUGGUCAACUCAAUAUCCAGCAUGGUUUUCGAGGAUGGAUUUAAAAUUGGAACACAGAAUUACUACGAGAAUGAAAAAGUACAAGAAAAGAUAUUAGUGAGUAGCGACCCCCAGGUAUUCAACUUGAUCUUUAUCUUUCUUAAGAUCAUUUUAUAUGUCAAUGUGUUUUCAACCUCCUUCAUCGUCAGAGCUCUUACCUUAAUUCUUUAUUUUUGAAAAUUGCAGGAUUCAAGUCUACUGAGUUGUGGGGGAUGCAGAUAAAAGUCUUUAUUUUUCAUAGUUUGUGGUGUCUCCAUAAAGUAUUUGUUAUACUAUGAAUAAAGACAUGACUUUUCUUCCUUUGAGACUCAACCAGAUUUUGUUUUCAAAUGUCUAUGGCAUAUAGAAAUAAACGGAAAUCGGACACAAACUUGAAUCUUUAAAUCAUUCAAUCAGAGUAUUUCACUCAACUCUUUCACAUAACACAAAUAUAGAACACUCGAAUUUAAGUUCAGAAACAUAAAAAUCUGUAGUUACAGAUUUCAGAAAUAUUCUUUUACAGACACAUGAUGGUCCUUUAUCAAAAGAUCGAAGGAACAUCAGGAAACCAUGGACCAAAGUUGCAGUCUGCUAUCUUUAACUUUUUUCAUUGAAGCAGUAGCAAUUAACAUAUAAUCUAGAUUCUAUUCAACCUCCUUUAUGAUAUUAGUAAGAUAAAUGAAACAGUGCUAAAUCAAGAAAUGAAGAAAGCUGUAAAGUAUUCCGCUGCUGCUUAUUAGAAUAGGCUCAGACUCUUUUGAGACAUUAGAUGGUGAACUGAUCAAAUGGACGAAAAAGGCCUAUUAUUGUGUUAAAAGGUGUAUUAGAAUAAUCUCAUAUCCAUUGGGAGGACUGUUUUGAGCCAUUAGAACCAGGUAAAAGAAUAAGUUCUGUCACAACAAAUUCUAGGAAAUAGACGCAUUAUUGAGCUUAUGCUCGAAAUCAAUUAAGGGUACGAAAAGUUCUGUCACAACAAAUUCUUAAAAGGGUAUAAUAUGCAUACACUUAUCCUAUCAAAACCUUCUUGCUUUUUUUUUUUUUUUACCUUUAAAGUUAAAGUCUAUACACAAAGUAACACUCUUAUCUUCUUUUUUUCUUAAUGCAAGACUUUGUUCAUACACCCAACCAAUUAUCAAACUACUUGAUUCAGAACAAUACAUGCCAUCCUGGAUAUCCUCCGUUCCAUCACUAAACUUUGAGGACUAUAACAAUGUGUUUCUUCCGUUCUACUCUCCGAGAAGACAAGAACAGCAGUCUCACUCUCACACUCACCUAUAAGUUCCAGGAAGAUACAAAAAAAUGUUUAAUCAGUGGUAUUGAAACUAUGAAGAACAUGCCAUGUAUGGACUUCUGCACUGUCUUCCAUCAGCAGGUCAAUUCUUGUGGAAAAUUGGCUCGAGCUGGUGCACUAUGUAGGCGCUGUAUUCAGAGUAGAUUUCCAGUCUAACCUUAAUGCAUUAGCAAAGUGACACUCCUAUUCUUAAGGUAUAAAGUUGUUAUGUUUCUUUCAAAGUUUACACACUCCUAUCCUAAACAAUUUUGUUGUGUGGUGGUCCUAUUCCUGGAAUCCAAUUAAGUUGGCAAAACAAAGAUAUUUUUUUGUCGAUAAUAACGUUGCACACAAAAUGCAUGUGUAAUGUGUUAUAUACAAGUGGUGGGACUUUGUGAUUUGACUUAAGAAUGUGAACUAUUGAUAGUUUCCGGCAUUCACUUGUGUGACACAUUGAAUGGGCAUAUGUGAUUCACAACUUCAAAUUGACUGAAAAUGACUACGUAACCAAUAGUAAAAUUCUCUUUGCUUAAUUUGUGUUAUAUAUACCUCAUCAAAAUUGUUGAAUAAACACACAAAGCAAAAUAUUUCUUGAUUUCUUCUCUACCAACUUAAUUUAGUUUUGAUCAUUUUUUAGUGCAGAAAUGGAUUGUGUAAAACUUGUAUUGUUUAUGCUAUAUACCUUUCUCGGUCAACUUAUUUUCUCCUUAUCCUUACCUCAUUUGUGCCCCGAAGAUCAAGCUCUUGCUCUUCUACAAUUCAAGAACAUGUUUCCCAUUAAUCCUAAUGCUUCUGAUUAUUGUUUUAAAUUUAAAGAGUUUCAUUCAUAUCCGAAAACUCUUACAUGGAAUAGUAGCACAGAUUGUUGCUCAUGGGAUGGAGUACAUUGUGACAAGAUGACGGGACAGGUGAUUGAGCUCAACCUCACUUGCAGCGGACUUCAAGGCAAGUUUCAUUCCAAAUUGUAGCCUCUUUCAACUUUCCAAUCUCAAAAGGAUUGAUUUGUCUUUUAAUAAUUUCACUGGAUCGCUCAUUUCACCUAAAUUUGGUGACUUCUCCAGUUUAACACAUCUUGAUCUAACAGUUACAAGUUUUUCGGGUCAAAUCCCUUCUGAAAUAUCUCAUCUUUCAAAAUUACACGAUCUUCGUAUCUCUAAUGUUUAUCCAUAUGAGC
RNAcentral lists this long non-coding RNA (15587 nucleotides) under Solanum tuberosum (potato). RNAcentral describes it as "long non-coding RNA (STUB_LNC001200)". The record is from RNAcentral. Lineage: Eukaryota; Viridiplantae; Streptophyta; Magnoliopsida; Solanales; Solanaceae.